AAUUCUAUUUGGUAGCCAAGGAUGACUUGCCUACUUCUUUGCGAAGGAAAAUGGUCACGGUGUCAUGUUUGAAAGUGAAUAUAUAUUUAUAAGAGUAUAUCAAUUAGUGACCAUUUUGCGUAUAAAAAGAUAUUAGGCAGUCUCCUUGGCUAUCCUUAUAUGUUCU
This is a non-coding RNA of Brassica napus (rape), 166 nucleotides long. Lineage: Eukaryota; Viridiplantae; Streptophyta; Magnoliopsida; Brassicales; Brassicaceae. The record is from Rfam.